CUGGCUCAGGAUGAACGCUGGCGGCGUGCUUAACACAUGCAAGUCGAACGAAGCAGCUUCUGCUGCAAGAAAGCUGACUUAGUGGCGGACGGGUGAGUAACGCGUGGGUAACCUGCCUCAUACAGGGGGAUAACAGUUGGAAACGACUGCUAAGACCGCAUAACCCGCUAGUGUCGCAUGACACGGACGGAAAAUAUUUAUAGGUAUGAGAUGGGCCCGCGUCUGAUUAGCUAGUUCGGUGAGGUAACGGCUUACCAAGGCGACGAUCAGUAGCCGACUUGAGAGAGUGAUCGGCCACAUUGGGACUGAGACACGGCCCAAACUCCUACGGGAGGCAGCAGUGGGGAAUAUUGGACAAUGGGGGAAACCCUGAUCCAGCGAACCGCCGCGUGAGUGAAGAAGUAUUUCGGUAUGUAAAGCUCUAUCAGCAGGGAAGAUAAUGACAGUACCUGACUAAGAAGCCCCGGCUAACUACGUGCCAGCAGCCGC
This 489-nucleotide ribosomal RNA is filed under the name uncultured bacterium. Its description in RNAcentral is "bacterial SSU rRNA". It matches the Rfam family "Bacterial small subunit ribosomal RNA", at positions 19 to 518 of the family's 1533-position model. The record is from RNAcentral.